UGCCAGCCGCCGCGGUAACACGGGGGGCGCAAGCGUUAUUCGGAAUUAUUGGGCGUAAAGGGCGCGCAGGCGGUCUUGUCAGUCAGGUGUGAAAUCCCGGGGCUUAACUCCGGAACUGCUCUUGAAACUGUUAGGCUAGAGUACAGUAGAGGUUGGUGGAAUUCCCAGUGUAGAGGUGAAAUUCGUAGAUAUUGGGAGGAACACCGGUGGCGAAGGCGGCCAACUGGGCUGUAACUGACGCUGAGGCGCGAAAGCGUGGGUAGCAAACAGGAUUAGAUA
RNAcentral lists this ribosomal RNA (279 nucleotides) under uncultured bacterium. RNAcentral's name for it is "partial 16S ribosomal RNA". It matches the Rfam family "Bacterial small subunit ribosomal RNA", at positions 506 to 784 of the family's 1533-position model. The record is from RNAcentral.